Molecule: ribosomal RNA, 378 nt
Filed under: uncultured bacterium
Lineage: Bacteria
Description: bacterial SSU rRNA
Rfam family: Bacterial small subunit ribosomal RNA
Source: RNAcentral
AUUGAACGCUGGCGGCAUGCCUUACACAUGCAAGUCGAACGGCAGCACGGGAGCAAUCCUGGUGGCGAGUGGCGAACGGGUGAGUAAUAUAUCGGAACGUGCCCAGUCGUGGGGAUAACGUAGCGAAAGCUACGCUAAUACCGCAGUACGAUCUAUGGAUGAAAGCGGGGGAUCGCAAGACCUCGCGCGAUUGGGAGCGGCCGAUAUCAGAUUAGGUAGUUGGUGAGGUAAAGGCUCACCAAGCCGACGAUCUGUAGCUGGUCUGAGAGGACGACCAGCCACACUGGGACUGAGACACGGCCCAGACUCCUACGGAGGCAGCAGUGGGGAAUAUUGGACAAUGGCGCAAGCCUGAUCCAGCAAUGCCGCGUGCAGGAU